UGGUGGAGUGAUUUGUCUGGUUAAUUCCGAUAACGAACGAGACUCUAUCCUGCUAAAUAGUCCCCUCGCAAUAAUUACGUGGGUUGACUUACUUAGAGGGAGUUCGCUACUCAUAGUGGCACGAAAUUGAGCAAUAACA
RNAcentral lists this ribosomal RNA (139 nucleotides) under uncultured eukaryote. RNAcentral describes it as "partial 18S ribosomal RNA". It matches the Rfam family "Eukaryotic small subunit ribosomal RNA", at positions 1299 to 1458 of the family's 1831-position model. The record is from RNAcentral.